GAUGAACGCUGGCGGCGUGCCUAAUACAUGCAAGUCGAACGAAAGGACGCGACGCUUGCUUCUCUGAUGUUAGCGGCGGACGGGUGUGUAACGCGUGGAUCACCUACCUAUAAGUCUGGUAUAACUUCGGAAAACCGGCGCUAAUACCGGAUAAUAUUUUGAACCGCGUGGUUCAAAAGUAAAAGACGGUCUUGCUGUCACUUCUAGAUGCAUCUGCGCUGCAUUAGCUAGUUGGUAAGGUAACGGCUUACUAAGGCAACGAGGCAUAGCCGACCGGAGAGGGUGAUAGGCCACACGAGAACGUAGACAGGCUCCAGACGCCUAAGGGAGGCAGCAGUAGGGUAUGGGCGGCAAUGGGGGAAAGUCUGACGGAGCAAGGCGGAGUGAGAGACGAAGAUGUUGGGAUCGGAAAACUCGGUUAUUGGUUAAGAACAGAUGUCGAAGUAAACGUGGAGAGAUUGACGGUAAUUAAUAAGGAAGCACCGGCUAACUACGUG
This 497-nucleotide ribosomal RNA is filed under the name uncultured bacterium. RNAcentral describes it as "partial 16S ribosomal RNA". It matches the Rfam family "Bacterial small subunit ribosomal RNA", at positions 28 to 507 of the family's 1533-position model. The record is from RNAcentral.